GGAGAGGUGGCCGAGUGGCAAGGCAGCGGCUUGCUAAGCCGUCGGGGCGCGAGUCCCGCGCAGGUUCGAUCCCUGUCCUCUCCGCCA
Molecule: transfer RNA, 87 nt
Filed under: Microbacterium sp.
Lineage: Bacteria; Bacillati; Actinomycetota; Actinomycetes; Micrococcales; Microbacteriaceae
Description: tRNA-Ser
Rfam family: tRNA
About the family: Transfer RNA (tRNA) molecules are approximately 80 nucleotides in length.
Source: RNAcentral